CGAGCUUCCGUUGAAUGACGUGCUUGCACUGAUUUCAACAAUGAAGCGAGUGGCGAACUGGUGAGUAACACGUGGGGAAUCUGCCCAGAAGCAGGGGAUAACACUUGGAAACAGGUGCUAAUACCGUAUAACAACAAAAUCCGCAUGGAUUUUGUUUGAAAGGUGGCUUCGGCUAUCACUUCUGGAUGAUCCCGCGGCGUAUUAGUUAGUUGGUGAGGUAAAGGCCCACCAAGACGAUGAUACGUAGCCGACCUGAGAGGGUAAUCGGCCACAUUGGGACUGAGACACGGCCCAAACUCCUACGGGAGGCAGCAGUAGGGAAUCUUCCACAAUGGACGAAAGUCUGAUGGAGCAAUGCCGCGUGAGUGAAGAAGGGUUUCGGCUCGUAAAACUCUGUUGUUAAAGAAGAACACCUUUGAGAGUAACUGUUCAAGGGUUGACGGUAUUUAACCAGAAAGCCACGGCUAACUACGUGCCAGCAGCCGCGGUAAUACGUAGG
Molecule: ribosomal RNA, 499 nt
Filed under: Levilactobacillus brevis
Lineage: Bacteria; Bacillati; Bacillota; Bacilli; Lactobacillales; Lactobacillaceae
Description: bacterial SSU rRNA
Rfam family: Bacterial small subunit ribosomal RNA
Source: RNAcentral